This 497-nucleotide ribosomal RNA is filed under the name uncultured bacterium. RNAcentral describes it as "partial 16S ribosomal RNA". It matches the Rfam family "Bacterial small subunit ribosomal RNA", at positions 28 to 507 of the family's 1533-position model. The record is from RNAcentral.
GAUGAACGCUGGCGGCGUGCCUAAUACAUGCAAGUCGAGCGAACGGACGAGAAGCUUGCUUCUCUGAUGUUAGCGGCGGACGGGUGAGUAACACGUGGAUAACCUACCUAUAAGACUGGGAUAACUUCGGGAAACCGGAGCUAAUACCGGAUAAUAUUUUGAACCGCAUGGUUCAAAAGUGAAAGACGGUCUUGCUGUCACUUAUAGAUGGAUCCGCGCUGCAUUAGCUAGUUGGUAAGGUAACGGCUUACCAAGGCAACGAUGCAUAGCCGAACUGAGAGGGUGAUCGGCCACACUGGAACUGAGACACGGUCCAGACUCCUACGGGAGGCAGCAGUAGGGAAUCUUCCGCAAUGGGCGAAAGCCUGACGGAGCAACGCCGCGUGAGUGAUGAAGGUCUUCGGAUCGUAAAACUCUGUUAUUAGGGAAGAACAUAUGUGUAAGUAACUGUGCACAUCUUGACGGUACCGAAUCAGAAAGCCACGGCUAACUACGUG